RNAcentral lists this long non-coding RNA (2306 nucleotides) under Mus musculus (house mouse). RNAcentral describes it as "long non-coding RNA chr5:120254788-120257094". The record is from RNAcentral. Lineage: Eukaryota; Metazoa; Chordata; Mammalia; Rodentia; Muridae.
UGUCUCUCUCCCAGGGUUCCAGAGCAAGCAGGAAACAAGCCUUGAGCUCUUCGUUAUAGCUCAACAUAUAGAAUCACAGGAUGUCAGAUCCAUCAGUGGUCUACGUUCAAGCAGGCACAGCUCACACCCAACUGCUCCUCCGUAUGUCCAUCAUCCCUGCACUCUCGGGGAGUGCUGAGGCAGAAGGGUUGCCAGUUCUGGGCCAUCCUGGGCUGCCAAGUGAGUGCCCUGCUUCAGAAUAGAUAAAUAGAUAAUAGACAUUUUAAAAACGGCCUUCACUUUGAAAAUACAGGGUGACUCGGACACUGUCACCUCUUCCUCUUUUUCUUCCAUAGGAACGGAGCUGUGCACGAAUGUAUGCCCCUGGGUUCCUGGAGGAGGAGGAGAGUGUGUAUACAGUUGGCCCUGCUGCUUGCACUCCAGAAACUACUCAGAUGGCAGAAAAGCUGGUGACAUCAGUACCCAGUUGUCACUCAAUAAUUGUGAAUGUUGCUGGAAGAUGUAAGAUGCAGAAUCCAACUCCCUAGCCCCAUGUGACCCACGAACUUGGCUUGGCGACCAGUGCCCGCCUUGACCCACCUCCCAGAAUGGUUCUUGUGCUUGCGCAGCAGGUACUUUGCACAGGGAGGUGGCUUCCUGGGCCCUGCCAGAGCCUUGGUCUUGUUUUCUCUUCUGGACACCGAGUAGCCAGUGGGGAAGGGCUGCCCUUGAUGAAUUCGUUGACCCCGUGCAGAAGUGUGAGCGCGGAGGGAUUUUUCCCGGCUUGAGCCUGUCCGUGGAUGAGGCCUGAGAAGCUGGGUUCUGGAUCCAGCCCACCCCGCCUGUCUGCAGGCGUGAGGCAGGAAGUGUUUUCUUUCUUCUCUGUUCCCCCAAACCAAUCUUUACAUCGAUUCCCACACCUCCACCUCCUGCCUCAGUCCUCAGGCUGCAAGGGUGCCUGAAUGUGUUAGUUUUGCCCACAAACUACAGUGUGACCGCCACUGCCACCAGCUGCUGGCAGCAGGGACCAGGCAUCCUGGUCCGAGCACCUCCUGGGCUCUGGAGACAGGUCACAAACUAAUCCCAUUCUCAGAGACAAACCCCAUUCUCUUCUAGGAUCCAUUUGAGAGAGAGCUAAGUGAGUCAUCUGUACUUAAGCAUUGUCUGAGCACCUACUGUGUACCAAAUCAAACCCAGGCUGGGGAGAUGCCUCCGUGUUAAAACUUUUACUACAUAAGUGGAGGACCCAAGUUCAAAUCUCCCAGAAGCCAUGUAAGUGUCAGGUGGGUGUGGCAGCUCACCUGAAAUUCCAGCCAGGAGAGUGGAGACAGGGGAUCCCCCAGUGAGCUAGCCAGCAAGACUAGCCAUUUCCUCAAGCCUUAGGUUUGACUGAGUGACUCUGUCUCAGUGAUUAAGGAGGAGGAGCAAUGAGGGAUGCAGCCACACACACAUGGGGGAAAUUAAAAAGGGAAACAAAGUCAAGUCACAUUGGUUCCACUGAAUGAGCUCUAGGGUAGCCAUUGGCCCCCACUAACUACACCUUCAGCAUCUUGUAGACCCAACUGGCACCAUAUCAAAAGACUGGAGGUGCAGUGUGGGUGCCCUUCCCAGCAUGCUCUGGUAAAAGAAACAAAUAAAAUAAAUAAAACUAAUAACCACAUCAUCCCCGAUCCAUAUCUACCAAUUCCACCUGUCUUUAUUCCCCAGAUAACAGUGUAGCUGUCCCUAUGCUGACACCCAGAAGUGGUGGACACUUCAAACCCAGCACUCAGGAGGGGUGGAGAAGGAGGGGCUCAGGCACAAGGAUCAGGAGUUCAAGGCCAGCCUAGACACAUAGCAAGACCCCAUUUCAAAAGAGAAAGGGGGCAUGGGAAAAAAUAAGGAGGUACAUGAGGUAUGGCGAGACCAGGUGUGCAAAUCGUUCUUUCUAAUCUGUUUCUGGGUGUGACCCCAUGUGCACCAGUGCAUGAAUAGAAAUGUAUGCAGGGGGUGGUGUGCCUGUGUGUGUGCAUGCAGAGAUCAGGGCAGGACACUGAAUCUCUUCUAUCACACUCUGCCGAUUGCCUCAGGAUGGGGCCUCUCACUGAACCAGAAGCUUGCUUCUUAAGCUGGGCUCUCGACAUUCACCUGACUCCACACCCAAUUCUGGGGUGGGGGUGGGCAGGUCACAAGCACAUGCACCCAUGCUAGAAUUUUUAUGUGGGUAUGGGAUAUUUGAACUUGACUAUCUCGUAGAGUUUCCCCCAGCUCUGUUUUAUUUCUCAGCUUUUAAAGUGUGUGUACAACACCCAGAAGAUACAAUGAAUAAAACCCUCACUCCCCACUUC